Molecule: ribosomal RNA, 1370 nt
Filed under: Rathayibacter agropyri
Lineage: Bacteria; Bacillati; Actinomycetota; Actinomycetes; Micrococcales; Microbacteriaceae
Description: bacterial SSU rRNA
Rfam family: Bacterial small subunit ribosomal RNA
Source: RNAcentral
UGCAGUCGAACGAUGAAGCCUAGCUUGCUGGGUGGAUUAGUGGCGAACGGGUGAGUAACACGUGAGUAACCUGCCCUUGACUCUGGGAUAAGCGCUGGAAACGGCGUCUAAUACCGGAUAUGACCUGCCCCGGCAUCGGGUGUGGGUGGAAAGUUUUUCGGUCAAGGAUGGACUCGCGGCCUAUCAGCUUGUUGGUGAGGUAAUGGCUCACCAAGGCGACGACGGGUAGCCGGCCUGAGAGGGUGACCGGCCACACUGGGACUGAGACACGGCCCAGACUCCUACGGGAGGCAGCAGUGGGGAAUAUUGCACAAUGGGCGAAAGCCUGAUGCAGCAACGCCGCGUGGGGGAUGACGGCCUUCGGGUUGUAAACCUCUUUUAGUAGGGAAGAAGGGCUUCGGCUUGACGGUACCUGCAGAAAAAGCACCGGCUAACUACGUGCCAGCAGCCGCGGUAAUACGUAGGGUGCAAGCGUUGUCCGGAAUUAUUGGGCGUAAAGAGCUCGUAGGCGGUUUGUCGCGUCUGCUGUGAAAACCCGAGGCUCAACCUCGGGCCUGCAGUGGGUACGGGCAGACUAGAGUGCGGUAGGGGAGAAUGGAAUUCCUGGUGUAGCGGUGGAAUGCGCAGAUAUCAGGAGGAACACCGAUGGCGAAGGCAGUUCUCUGGGCCGUUACUGACGCUGAGGAGCGAAAGCGUGGGGAGCGAACAGGAUUAGAUACCCUGGUAGUCCACGCCGUAAACGUUGGGAACUAGAUGUGGGGGCCUUUCCACGGUCUCCGUGUCGCAGCUAACGCAUUAAGUUCCCCGCCUGGGGAGUACGGCCGCAAGGCUAAAACUCAAAGGAAUUGACGGGGGCCCGCACAAGCGGCGGAGCAUGCGGAUUAAUUCGAUGCAACGCGAAGAACCUUACCAAGGCUUGACAUAUACCGGAAACUUCCAGAGAUGGUUGCCCCGCAAGGUCGGUAUACAGGUGGUGCAUGGUUGUCGUCAGCUCGUGUCGUGAGAUGUUGGGUUAAGUCCCGCAACGAGCGCAACCCUCGUUCUAUGUUGCCAGCACGUUAUGGUGGGAACUCAUAGGAGACUGCCGGGGUCAACUCGGAGGAAGGUGGGGAUGACGUCAAAUCAUCAUGCCCCUUAUGUCUUGGGCUUCACGCAUGCUACAAUGGCCGGUACAAAGGGCUGCGAUACCGUAAGGUGGAGCGAAUCCCAAAAAGCCGGUCUCAGUUCGGAUUGAGGUCUGCAACUCGACCUCAUGAAGUCGGAGUCGCUAGUAAUCGCAGAUCAGCAACGCUGCGGUGAAUACGUUCCCGGGCCUUGUACACACCGCCCGUCAAGUCAUGAAAGUCGGUAACACCCGAAGCCAGUGGCCU